CAUGACCAUGUCUCCCUUCGGUCUCUGCUGAUCUUCUCUGGUUUCUUCAAUCUCGUAUUUUUCUAAUCUGUAUUUGUAGCUCAGUAGUAGUAGACUGUAGUCUUGUUCUUCUAGACUACCAAAUCUUCUAUUCAAUUAGGUUGGAAAUUAAAAUAGAAUCAAGGAUUAAAAUUGCAUAUUCUUCACAAUGGGUAGUUUUUUUUGACUGAACACAAUGUGAUGUAUCAUGCUUGUGUAGAGAUUAAGUCUCGAUUGUAGGAAGGUUCCUGCCUGUGGUGGAGCAUGGUCUGAACAUCUAGUCAAUUUGUAUCUAACUCUUGCAAAACAAUAGGGCAAAUGAUUGGAGAUCAAACAAAUUAACUUGUAGGCUAGCAGUGCUCCAAGGAUCUGGGGUGAUUUUGAUAUGAGCAGGUACUGUUGCUGUUUAUUUAUGUACAACAAUAGGAGCAAAGCCUUGCAUGCUUUGCUUUUUUUCUCUGAAAUGCAUUAAGCUAUGUUAUCAAUCCAUUUUGUAUAUCUUUGCUUAUGAGAUUUAAUGCUUCAGAUCUAUUUUUC
RNAcentral lists this long non-coding RNA (555 nucleotides) under Sorghum bicolor (sorghum). Its description in RNAcentral is "long non-coding RNA (SBIC_LNC001483)". Lineage: Eukaryota; Viridiplantae; Streptophyta; Magnoliopsida; Poales; Poaceae. The record is from RNAcentral.